AGGAGCAGCUGUGAGGGACAUUCAGUCUCCAUGCAGAGCCCAGGGACCAGUGUAUCAGUUGCAUGGAGAUACUAGAGACACACUUGCCCAGCUGGAAAUUGCAGAGCUAGUGCAUUUCUCCCAAAGCACAG
RNAcentral lists this small RNA (131 nucleotides) under Pongo abelii (Sumatran orangutan). RNAcentral describes it as "processed transcript". Lineage: Eukaryota; Metazoa; Chordata; Mammalia; Primates; Hominidae. The record is from RNAcentral.